GGUGAUAUGAACCGUUAUAACCGGCGAUUUCCGAAUGGGGAAACCCAGUGUGUUUCGACACACUAUCAUUAACUGAAUCCAUAGGUUAAUGAGGCGAACCGGGGGAACUGAAACAUCUAAGUACCCCGAGGAAAAGAAAUCAACCGAGAUUCCCCCAGUAGCGGCGAGCGAACGGGGAGGAGCCCAGAGCCUGAAUCAGUGUGUGUGUUAGUGGAAGCGUCUGGAAAGGCGCGCGAUACAGGGUGACAGCCCCGUACACAAAAAUGCACAUAUUGUGAGCUCGAUGAGUAGGGCGGGACACGUGGUAUCCUGUCUGAAUAUGGGGGGACCAUCCUCCAAGGCUAAAUACUCCUGACUGACCGAUAGUGAACCAGUACCGUGAGGGAAAGGCGAAAAGAACCCCGGCGAGGGGAGUGAAAAAGAACCUGAAACCGUGUACGUACAAGCAGUGGGAGCCUCUUAAUGGGGUGACUGCGUACCUUUUGUAUAAUGGGUCAGCGACUUAUAUUCUGUAGCAAGGUUAACCGAAUAGGGGAGCCGAAGGGAAACCGAGUCUUAACUGGGCGCUAAGUUGCAGGGUAUAGACCCGAAACCCGGUGAUCUAGCCAUGGGCAGGUUGAAGGUUGGGUAACACUAACUGGAGGACCGAACCGACUAAUGUUGAAAAAUUAGCGGAUGACUUGUGGCUGGGGGUGAAAGGCCAAUCAAACCGGGAGAUAGCUGGUUCUCCCCGAAAGCUAUUUAGGUAGCGCCUCGUGAAUUCAUCUCCGGGGGUAGAGCACUGUUUCGGCAAGGGGGUCAUCCCGACUUACCAACCCGAUGCAAACUGCGAAUACCGGAGAAUGUUAUCACGGGAGACACACGGCGGGUGCUAACGUCCGUCGUGAAGAGGGAAACAACCCAGACCGCCAGCUAAGGUCCCAAAGUCAUGGUUAAGUGGGAAACGAUGUGGGAAGGCCCAGACAGCCAGGAUGUUGGCUUAGAAGCAGCCAUCAUUUAAAGAAAGCGUAAUAGCUCACUGGUCGAGUCGGCCUGCGCGGAAGAUGUAACGGGGCUAAACCAUGCACCGAAGCUGCGGCAGCGACACUAUGUGUUGUUGGGUAGGGGAGCGUUCUGUAAGCCUGUGAAGGUGGCCUGUGAGGGUUGCUGGAGGUAUCAGAAGUGCGAAUGCUGACAUAAGUAACGAUAAAGCGGGUGAAAAGCCCGCUCGCCGGAAGACCAAGGGUUCCUGUCCAACGUUAAUCGGGGCAGGGUGAGUCGACCCCUAAGGCGAGGCCGAAAGGCGUAGUCGAUGGGAAACAGGUUAAUAUUCCUGUACUUGGUGUUACUGCGAAGGGGGGACGGAGAAGGCUAUGUUGGCCGGGCGACGGUUGUCCCGGUUUAAGCGUGUAGGCUGGUUUUCCAGGCAAAUCCGGAAAACCAAGGCUGAGGCGUGAUGACGAGGCACUACGGUGCUGAAGCGACAAAUGCCCUGCUUCCAGGAAAAGCCUCUAAGCAUCAGGUAACAUCAAAUCGUACCCCAAACCGACACAGGUGGUCAGGUAGAGAAUACCAAGGCGCUUGAGAGAACUCGGGUGAAGGAACUAGGCAAAAUGGUGCCGUAACUUCGGGAGAAGGCACGCUGAUAUGUAGGUGAAGCGACUUGCUCGUGGAGCUGAAAUCAGUCGAAGAUACCAGCUGGCUGCAACUGUUUAUUAAAAACACAGCACUGUGCAAACACGAAAGUGGACGUAUACGGUGUGACGCCUGCCCGGUGCCGGAAGGUUAAUUGAUGGGGUUAGCGGUAACGCGAAGCUCUUGAUCGAAGCCCCGGUAAACGGCGGCCGUAACUAUAACGGUCCUAAGGUAGCGAAAUUCCUUGUCGGGUAAGUUCCGACCUGCACGAAUGGCGUAAUGAUGGCCAGGCUGUCUCCACCCGAGACUCAGUGAAAUUGAACUCGCUGUGAAGAUGCAGUGUACCCGCGGCAAGACGGAAAGACCCCGUGAACCUUUACUAUAGCUUGACACUGAACAUUGAGCCUUGAUGUGUAGGAUAGGUGGGAGGCUUUGAAGUGUGGACGCCAGUCUGCAUGGAGCCGGCCUUGAAAUACCACCCUUUAAUGUUUGAUGUUCUAACGUUGGCCCGUAAUCCGGGUUGCGGACAGUGUCUGGUGGGUAGUUUGACUGGGGCGGUCUCCUCCUAAAGAGUAACGGAGGAGCACGAAGGUUGGCUAAUCCUGGUCGGACAUCAGGAGGUUAGUGCAAUGGCAUAAGCCAGCUUGACUGCGAGCGUGACGGCGCGAGCAGGUGCGAAAGCAGGUCAUAGUGAUCCGGUGGUUCUGAAUGGAAGGGCCAUCGCUCAACGGAUAAAAGGUACUCCGGGGAUAACAGGCUGAUACCGCCCAAGAGUUCAUAUCGACGGCGGUGUUUGGCACCUCGAUGUCGGCUCAUCACAUCCUGGGGCUGAAGUAGGUCCCAAGGGUAUGGCUGUUCGCCAUUUAAAGUGGUACGCGAGCUGGGUUUAGAACGUCGUGAGACAGUUCGGUCCCUAUCUGCCGUGGGCGCUGGAGAACUGAGGGGGGCUGCUCCUAGUACGAGAGGACCGGAGUGGACGCAUCACUGGUGUUCGGGUUGUCAUGCCAAUGGCACUGCCCGGUAGCUAAAUGCGGAAGAGAUAAGUGCUGAAAGCAUCUAAGCACGAAACUUGCCCCGAGAUGAGUUCUCCCUGAGACUUAGAGUCUCCUGAAGGAACGUUGAAGACGACGACGUUGAUAGGCCGGGUGUGUAAGCGCAGCGAUGCGUUGAGCUAACCGGUACUAAUGAACCGUGAGGCUUAACCUU
RNAcentral lists this ribosomal RNA (2820 nucleotides) under Escherichia coli. Its description in RNAcentral is "bacterial LSU rRNA". It matches the Rfam family "Bacterial large subunit ribosomal RNA". The record is from RNAcentral. Lineage: Bacteria; Pseudomonadati; Pseudomonadota; Gammaproteobacteria; Enterobacterales; Enterobacteriaceae.